This 233-nucleotide unclassified non-coding RNA is filed under the name Hevea brasiliensis (rubber tree). Lineage: Eukaryota; Viridiplantae; Streptophyta; Magnoliopsida; Malpighiales; Euphorbiaceae. The record is from RNAcentral.
UGAGUGAUUCAACAAAUGUCCUUUCCCCUGGAAGGACACUCAGUGAAACUGUAGUUGCAGAUUCGUUGCUGAGGCGCAUUUCAGCUGCCAAAGGAAGGGUUAUCACUACCCAGUUUGCAUCUAACAUUCAUCGUCUUGGCAGUGUGAAAGCUGCAGCUGACUUGACCGGCAGAAAGCUGGUAUUUGUUGGCAUGUCUUUGAGGACAUAUCUUGACGCUGCAUGGAAAGAUGGG